This is a long non-coding RNA of Papaver somniferum (opium poppy), 1814 nucleotides long. RefSeq lists it as uncharacterized. Lineage: Eukaryota; Viridiplantae; Streptophyta; Magnoliopsida; Ranunculales; Papaveraceae. The transcript has 3 exons. The record is from RefSeq and is a predicted model, not a curated record.
UCUUCUUCUGAAUGUAUCUCUUCUUCACAAGCCGCUUCAAGUAUGCCUCGAUGAUAAUCUUAUUAACAAUGAUGAAACCAUAGAGGCGGUAGUAGCAUAUCCAUUGCCAUAAUCUGAUUAUCUGAUUCCGUUUUCUCUUUUCCCGUUCUUUAAAAAUCACCAGCUAAGACAUAGACGGACAAAGGGAGAUGAUGAUUCUAAAUUCGUUGAUUGAGUUAUAGGGAUUUUUUUCACUGAUCAAAAGGAAACCUUGGGUUUCAAUUUGAUUUUAAUUUUGUUUAAUGUGCAAUGUAAAUUUUUGAAAUUCUAAACUAGGGUUUACGUUGUAUUCAAACCUUGUUGUUGCUUCAGGUGUUAGGUACAAUCGAUCUGAAAUUGAAGCUGUUACGGAUGAGAUUGAUGAUGAAUUGGGUUCUGAUUUGCAGAAAUGGUGAUGAUGUAUUGGGUUUGAAGAAUUUUCUACUGUGGUUGUAGUGAAGGUUAUUGUGAUUGAGUGAAUAACAUCGUCAAUCGAACUGGCCUGACUAAUGGUGGUCAUCCAUAUACAAUGGAAGUAAGAACAGGUAUUAUCAUUGAUUGGAUACUAGUUAAGUUACACUUCUGACAUUCUUCUAAUUCUGUUUUUCUUUGUCAAUUAUUUCUGUUGAGGUUGAAUUGUAGAUGGUUUAUGAGUAUGAGUGAAGCUGAAGUAUGGAGAUGUGCUAAUGCUGAUGAAUAGAUGAAUGAUUAGGACAGGGAUGAGCUGAAGAUAAUGGUGCACUUGCAGUUUUGUUGUGGUGUGAAGUUGGUGGCCAGAAUGGUUAUGUGCAGGUGAUUGAAGCUGCAGUUCAGGCGUUGCUGCUGUUGUUGGCUAGAUUUUGCAGAGUUGUUGUUGGUUUAGGUGAUGGGUCUUGCGCAGUCAGCUGGAUAUGUUGCGAUGCUGGUACUGAAAAUGAAUAGCUUUUGGUUUAGUGAAAUGUAUAGAAGAUGAUGGUGUUGUUGUCGUGAUUCAUGGCAGUAAAGAAGUAGGUUAUGCAGUGGAUACUUGUGAUUUUGAGCAGAGACAAAUUAAGUGGAUUGAAAUGAAUGAAGGUUGUUCUCCAUAUAUGGGAUCCUAUAUGCCUCAUUUUAAUAGCUUGUCUCUUGGAGGAAUCGUAGAGGUGUAUGAUGGUGACAUGUACAUAUGGUGACGUGUACAAGGUACACGUGUGUUCCCAGUCAGAGCCGAGUUACUUUGCAGACUCGGCGAGUUAAACUGCAAAUCGGCGAGUUGAUUGAUUCAAAGGGCUUAAUUGUAUUUUUAUCCUACACUAACAGUGCCAAAAAAGGUGGAUAACCACCGUUAGCCAAUUUGGUCAAAACUGGCCUAGUUUUGUUAUGCGGAAAAAAAAAAAAAGAAAAGAUACUCAUAUUUGAUCUGUAUUUCACUCAUAUUUGAUUCUACAGCGGUUGCCGACUGCAAGAAGCUUGCUAAAAGAUACUCGCCGUACUUAUUCUAUAUGUACGAAAACGGGAAAGAUCCUUUUUCCCUUCCAGCUACAACUGACUGCUAUCCAUGGAGAUCAAACUGCAAAAUGAUAAGACUGUUCUGUAAGUGGCCUUCACUUUUUUGACUAGGCAUUUCAAUCUCGCAUCUCCAAUUUUGUACACAUUAGACAGAAAAACUGGUUAAUAUUCCAAAUAGUACUUCUCGAUGUGCAUCGACUCUCUUAUAUAGGAAGCGAUAUUAUGGUAGUCACUGGGAAAAACGAGUCACUCAUUUAGCUCAUGGAACUGAUUAUGUGGUGCCUAAAAUCUAAUUACUGAAAUUAAUGCUGGAUUUGCCUUUUUUUGAA